RNAcentral lists this ribosomal RNA (895 nucleotides) under uncultured bacterium. Its description in RNAcentral is "bacterial SSU rRNA". It matches the Rfam family "Bacterial small subunit ribosomal RNA", at positions 8 to 916 of the family's 1533-position model. The record is from RNAcentral.
AGAGUUUGAUCCUGGCUCAGGACGAACGCUGGCGGCGUGCUUAACACAUGCAAGUCGAGCGGUAAGGCUCCUUUCGGGAGUACACGAGCGGCGAACGGGUGAGUAACACGUGAGCAAUCUGCCCUUCUCAUCGGAAUAACCAUUGGAAACGAUGGCUAAUGCCGAAUAUGACCUCGGAACACAUGUUCUGAGGUGGAAAGCUCCGGCGGAGAAGGAUGAGCUCGCGGCCUAUCAGCUUGUUGGUGAGGUAAUGGCUCACCAAGGCAUUGACGGGUAGCCGGCCUGAGAGGGUGACCGGCCACACUGGGACUGAGACACGGCCCAGACUCCUACGGGAGGCAGCAGUGGGGAAUAUUGGACAAUGGGCGAAAGCCUGAUCCAGCAACGCCGCGUGAGGGAUGACGGCCUUCGGGUUGUAAACCUCUUUCAGCAGGGACGAAGCGAAAGUGACGGUACCUGCAGAAGAAGGACCGGCCAACUACGUGCCAGCAGCCGCGGUAAUACGUAGGGUCCGAGCGUUGUCCGGAAUUAUUGGGCGUAAAGGGCUCGUAGGCGGUUUGUCACGUCGGGAGUGAAAACUCAGGGCUCAACCCUGAGCGUGCUUCCGAUACGGGCAGACUAGAGGUAUGCAGGGGAGAACGGAAUUCCUGGUGUAGCGGUGGAAUGCGCAGAUAUCAGGAGGAACACCGGUGGCGAAGGCGGUUCUCUGGGCAUUACCUGACGCUGAGGAGCGAAAGCAUGGGGAGCGAACAGGAUUAGAUACCCUGGUAGUCCAUGCCGUAAACGUUGGGCGCUAGGUGUGGGGACCUUCCACGGUCUCCGUGCCGCAGCUAACGCAUUAAGCGCCCCGCCUGGGGAGUACGGCCGCAAGGCUAAAACUCAAACGAAUUGACGG